This 254-nucleotide ribosomal RNA is filed under the name uncultured bacterium. Its description in RNAcentral is "partial 16S ribosomal RNA". It matches the Rfam family "Bacterial small subunit ribosomal RNA", at positions 526 to 779 of the family's 1533-position model. The record is from RNAcentral.
CGGAAGGUCCAGGCGUUAUCCGGAUUUAUUGGGUUUAAAGGGAGCGUAGGCUGUUGGUUAAGCGUGUUGUGAAAUGUAGAUGCUCAACAUCUGAAUUGCAGCGCGAACUGUCCGACUUGAGUGCGCGGAAAGCAGGCGGAAUUCGUUGUGUAGCGGUGAAAUGCUUAGAUAUGACGAAGAACUCCGAUUGCGAAGGCAGCUUGCUGUAGCGUAACUGACGCUGAAGCUCGAAAGUGCGGGUAUCGAACAGGAUU